This 267-nucleotide ribosomal RNA is filed under the name uncultured bacterium. Its description in RNAcentral is "partial 16S ribosomal RNA". It matches the Rfam family "Bacterial small subunit ribosomal RNA", at positions 30 to 311 of the family's 1533-position model. The record is from RNAcentral.
AUUGAACGCUGGCGGCAUGCCUAACACAUGCAAGUCGAACGGGGUAGCAAUACCCAGUGGCGGACGGGUGAGGAAUACAUAGGAAUUUGCCUUUAGGUGGGGAUAGCCCGGGGAAACUCGGAGUAAUACCGCAUGAUGUCGAAAGACCAAAGUAGGGAUCGCAAGACCUUGCGCCUUUAGAGAAGCCUAUGUCUGAUUAGCUAGUUGGUAGGGUAAUGGCCUACCAAGGCGACGAUCAGUAACUGGUCUGAGAGGACGAUCAGUCAC